Molecule: ribosomal RNA, 158 nt
Filed under: Phoma sp.
Lineage: Eukaryota; Fungi; Ascomycota; Dothideomycetes; Pleosporales; Didymellaceae
Description: 5.8S ribosomal RNA
Rfam family: 5.8S ribosomal RNA
About the family: 5.8S ribosomal RNA (5.8S rRNA) is a component of the large subunit of the eukaryotic ribosome. It is transcribed by RNA polymerase I as part of the 45S precursor that also contains 18S and 28S rRNA. Functionally, it is thought that 5.8S rRNA may be involved in ribosome translocation.
Source: RNAcentral
CAACUUUCAACAACGGAUCUCUUGGUUCUGGCAUCGAUGAAGAACGCAGCGAAAUGCGAUAAGUAGUGUGAAUUGCACAAUUCAGUGAAUCAUCGAAUCUUUGAACGCACAUUGCGCCCCUUGGUAUUCCAUGGGGCAUGCCUGUUCGAGCGUCAUUU